This 433-nucleotide ribosomal RNA is filed under the name uncultured bacterium. RNAcentral describes it as "partial 16S ribosomal RNA". It matches the Rfam family "Bacterial small subunit ribosomal RNA", at positions 29 to 507 of the family's 1533-position model. The record is from RNAcentral.
AACGAACGCUGGCGGCAUGCCUAACACAUGCAAGUCGAACGAUCCCUUCGGGGAUAGUGGCGCACGGGUGCGUAACGCGUGGGAACCUGCCCUUAGGUUCGGAAUAACUCAGAGAAAUUUGAGCUAAUACCGGAUAAUGUCUUCGGACCAAAGAUUUAUCGCCUUUGGAUGGGCCCGCGUUGGAUUAGCUAGUUGGUGGGGUAAAGGCCUACCAAGGCGACGAUCCAUAGCUGGUCUGAGAGGAUGAUCAGCCACACUGGGACCGAGACACGGCCCAGACUCCUACGGGAGGCAGCAGUGGGGAAUAUUGGACAAUGGGCGAAAGCCUGAUCCAGCAAUGCCGCGUGAGUGAUGAAGGCCUUAGGGUUGUAAAGCUCUUUUACCCGGGAUGAUAAUGACAGUACCGGGAGAAUAAGCCCCGGCUAACUCCGUG